AGCGAACGCUGGCGGCAGGCUUAACACAUGCAAGUCGAGCGGGCGUAGCAAUACGUCAGCGGCAGACGGGUGAGUAACGCGUGGGAACAUACCUUUUGGUUCGGAACAACACAGGGAAACUUGUGCUAAUACCGGAUAAGCCCUUACGGGGAAAGAUUUAUCGCCGAAAGAUUGGCCCGCGUCUGAUUAGCUAGUUGGUGAGGUAACGGCUCACCAAGGCGACGAUCAGUAGCNGGUCUGAGAGGAUGAUCAGCCACAUUGGGACUGAGACACGGCCCAAACUCCUACGGGAGGCAGCAGUGGGGAAUAUUGGACAAUGGGCGCAAGCCUGAUCCAGCCAUGCCGCGUGAGUGAUGAAGGCCCUGGGUUGUAAAGCUCUUUUGUGCGGGAAGAUAAUGACGGUACCGCAAG
This 411-nucleotide ribosomal RNA is filed under the name uncultured bacterium. Its description in RNAcentral is "bacterial SSU rRNA". It matches the Rfam family "Bacterial small subunit ribosomal RNA", at positions 29 to 484 of the family's 1533-position model. The record is from RNAcentral.